UUCAAAACGCAUCGCAGUACCAUUCCCUAACCUAAUUGCUAUCAUCGACUGCGCCCAAAGCAAACUUCGCCGUCAGAGUCCAGAAGAGUUUAGGGUUCUGGAGGGCUUUGAUUCGAAGAACGGUAUCAAUUGGGGCUUUGGUUUGGUGAUUAACUAUAUCAGCGUUUUGGCAUUUUUGGUAUUGAGGAGUCUUGGGUUUUUUGUGAGUUCCAGUAGGUUGUAGGCAUUACAGUUUGAUGGCCGACCGGAAUUCCGCCAUUGUUAAGCCUAUAUGGAUGAAGCAAGCCGAAGAGGCAAAGCUCAAGAGUGAGGCUGAGAAAGCCGCGGCUGCAAAAGCCGCUUUUGAAGCCACCUUCAAGGAUGUAGAGAAAAAUCGUGAAAAGGAAUCGGCUUUAUCAGACAGUGAAUCGGAAGAAUAUGAGGAUUUGGCGAACAAACCGAUUGGGCCAGUGGACCCUUCAAAGUGCACAGCUGCUGGUACUGGCAUAGCGGGCGGCACUGCAUGUGCCCCAUCUUCGUUUAUGGUGGUAACGAAAGAUGCGGAUGGGAGGAAGGUGCCCAAUGGGGGCGCGCAGAUUAAGGUGAAGGUGUUGCCUGGAGUGGGUGUUGGAGGAUCAGAGCAAGAAGGUAUUGUGAAGGAUAUGAGUGAUGGAACAUAUACAGUUACCUACGUGGUUCCGAAGAGGGGGAAUUACAUGGUGAAUGUUGAGUGUAAUGGGAAGCCCAUCAUGGGUAGCCCAUUCCCAGUAUUUUUCAGUGCAGGUACUCAAGGUGCUAGUACCGGAGGACUACUAGGUUUGGCCCCUGCCUCCAGUUUUCCAAAUAUGGUUAAUCAAACCAUGCCCAAUAUGCCAAAUUAUUCAGGAUCUGUUUCAGGGGCAUUCCCAGGAUUAUUGGGAAUGAUUCCAGGCAUUGUACCUGGUGCAUCAGGGGGUGCUAUUUUGCCUGGAAUUGGUGCAUCUUUGGGGGAAGUUUGUCGAGAGUACCUUAAUGGUCGGUGUGCCAAAACUGACUGUAAGUUGAACCACCCACCUCACAAUUUGCUAAUGACUGCACUAGCUGCAACAACCACAAUGGGGACUGUAAGUCAAGUUCCCAUGGCACCGUCUGCAGCUGCAAUGGCUGCUGCUCAAGCAAUUGUUGCUGCCCAAGCCCUUCAAGCCCAUGCAGCUCAGGUGCAAGCACAAGCUCAGUCCGCCAAAGAAUUAUCUGGUUCACCUGAUAAAGCUGGGAAGGCUGAUGCACUGAAGAAGACACUUCAAGUUAGCAACCUUAGCCCACUUCUCACAGUGGAACAACUCAAACAACUUUUCAGCUUUUGCGGCACCGUUGUUGAAUGUACCAUCACUGAUUCAAAGCAUUUUGCUUAUAUAGAAUACUCAAAACCUGAAGAAGCAACUGCAGCUUUGGCACUGAAUAAUAUGGAUGUUGGAGGUCGCCCUUUGAAUGUUGAAAUGGCAAAAUCUCUUCCUCAAAAACCAGCUCUUUUGAAUUCUCCACUGUCUUCAUCUUCUCUGCCUCUGAUGAUGCAGCAAGCUGUUGCCAUGCAGCAGAUGCAAUUCCAGCAGGCACUGCUUAUGCAACAAACUAUGACUGCACAGCAGGCAGCAAACCGAGCUGCAACCAUGAAGUCAGCAACAGAGUUAGCUGCAGCCAGAGCUGCAGAAAUAAGUAAGAAAUUAAAACCUGAUGGACUUGGAGAUGAAGAGAAGGAAGCAAAAAGAAAAUCCAGAUCACCAUCAAUCUCUCGCCCGAAGUCAAGGUCCAAGUCAAGGUCACCAGCCAAUUUUCAACGAAGGCGCAGGUCUCGUUCUUACUCACCUCCAUCCCGCCAACCAAGGGAUCAUAGAUCCAGAUCGCCAGUGAGAUCUCGCCAUCAUUCCAGCUAUGAAAAUGAAUGGCGGUCCCAUAGAGACAUUCGGGAUGGUGGUGACAGAACUAGAAUGCGAGAUUUAGGAAGAUCACGUCGGGAUUCUGAAAGAUCAGAUCGUCAUUCAUCUUCUCUAAGGAGAAACAGGAGGAGUGUGAGCCCUCUAACGAGAAAAUCGUACCGAGCUGACUCGGUCUCACCAAAACGUUAUCAAGAAAGUUCACUGCAUAGAGCAAGGAAAUCAUCUCGUGCUCGUUCAAGAUCCCCAAGUCAUCACAGGGGAGGUAGGUCAUCUCCAAGAAUUGACGAUGAAAACAAAUCAAGACACAGAAAACGCUCUAGGUCAAAAUCGGUUGAAGGCAAGCAUCAGUCUGAUGACAAAAUAGAUGAGUCCCGAGAUGAAAAAUCAAAGCAUAAUGACCGAAGGCGGUCCAGGUCAGUAUCUCCUGAAGGCAAGCAUCAUAGAAGCAGCAGGUCAUCUCCAACUCCAAGAAUUUUGGGGGAAAAUAAAUUCAGACAUAGAGGGAGGUCCAGGUCAAAGUCUUUAGAAGGUAAGCCCCACUCCAAUGAGAAAUCCAACGAAUCCAGGGAUAAACCAAAACAUAGUGAUAGAAGGCGGUCUAGAUCAAAGUCUCUGGAGCGCAAGCGUCACACUGAGGGGAAAGUAGAUGAAAUAAGGGAAGAAAAAUCUAGACAUCGUGAUAGAAGGCGGUCCAGAUCGAGAUCUGUGGAAGGAAAGCGGCACUCCAAGGAGAAAGCAGAUGAAAGCAGGGACAGAAAAUCAAAGCAUCGUGAUAGAAGACGGUCAAGGUCGGUCUCCGUGGAGGCUAGGCAUUAUAGAGGAGGUAGGUCAUCUCCAAAAGAUUUAGAUGGUAGAAAACUAAAACACAGAAGGCAUUCUAGGUCAAAUUCUGCUGAAAGGAAGCAUCACUCCUAUGAUAGAGCAGAUGAGAGUAGAGCUGUAAAGUCAAAGCAGCGUGAGAGAUCACGGUCCAGAUCAAUAUCAGCAGAACACAAGCAUAAUAGAGGUGGUAGUUUGUCACCGAUAAGCUUGGUGGAAAAUAAAACAAAAGACACAAGGCAAUCUACGCCAGAAUCUGGUGAAGGGAACCUUCAUUCCUGUGAUGGAAGGGAUGAAAACAGUGAUGAAAAUUUGAAGCAUCAUGAACAUGCAGAAAAGGAACCAGAUACCAUUUUGAAGGAUUUGACUAGCAUGAAUGAUAAUGGUCUGUUAAUUUCAGUACGUGAGAAUCGUAACUUGAAGGAAGCAAUGAAAACUAGGGCAAUGGAAGGUGACCAGGAUAUGGAAAACACUCAUUUGACAAAUGUUAGCAGUGAAGAUGGUUCAUUUUUUCGAGGUUGUAAAAUCCCCUUGGUUGCUGAGGAGAUAAUGGAAAAUGGAGCAUCCGAUGUUGAGCAUCCAGAGCUAGGAAUGGGAGAUCAAAAAAAUUGUGAGAAGUCAAUUCGUGUUGAAAAUAGUGACAAAACUUGCUUAAGCCAGGAUCACGUCGGAGAUGAAUCAGAGUUCAUGAUUGGAGGCAGGUCUUCAAUUUCCCAGAUGCUGAAGGCUCAACAGAGAAGCUCCAUCUCACCUGAGGAAGAUAUGUUUUCAAGUGAUGCCAGUGCAGAAGAUAAACGCUGAUGUUAAAAGUCUAACUGGAGGAUGUGGUUGCUUUUAAUUUGAGACUUUUUUAUGCUGAGGGAUGGGUGCAUUUUCUCGGAUAAAAGCUCGGUGCUUAGUGUUUCUUUUGGUGCCUGGAAUUUUCUGCUGGCUGUUGGUUCUUCAUAAAUGCACUUUCUGUGUCUGUUUAUUCCUUGCAGGUCUUGUGGGAUACUGGAAUUACAGUGCUGAAGCUGGUCUUGCUGUGGUUUAAGUAUUUCAAGAAGUGUCAUGGUUUCAUCCACAAUCGGCCAUGUGAUGUUUGUAGCAAGCUUCUUUUACUACUUGAUGAUUGUAUCCUGAAAAAUGCAGGUAUUCAUGGUGAUUUUUCAUUGGAGCUUUCUGAUAUUCAAUUUGGCAGGAUUGAUUUUCUCUGAUAUAAAUAAAGGUAUGCUAUCGGUUAGGUAAAGGUACUGUUAAGGUCCAGUGAAACCAGAUGUUGCUGGGAUGAAUUGCAUCAAAAUUCCAGUGUGUUGAGUAUGAUCAGAUUUCCUGACUCAAUUUACACAUUACUUAAACUUAUGGUGAAAUGCGAGUGUUGAUUUUUAUCAGGUAAUUUUCCAUGAAACUGUUGGGUUGAGUUUUCCUUUGAAAGCAUAAAAAAUAAUUGUGGAAGCUUGUGUUUGUGCAUGUGGUUAUUUUACAUGGAUUAUAACUGUUCCCUGCAGCGACUUAAACUGGGUGGACCAUUGGAAUUUUUCUAAUGAAUAUUUGUGCAUGCAUUUACUUGUUGGAACCAAAAAUUUAGGAUUGGUAUAUAUAUAUUUUUUUUCAUUAAACAAGAUUUUAUUGAGGAUGGGUAUUUUUUCAUGGCUUUACUAUCAUUUGGACUUCAUUCGGGAUGUGUUGGGGAGGAGGGGGCAUGAGUAGAUUUUAGUGCAAGUGUCUUCUUCAACGUCUCUUGCACUGAGUUCCUGUCUUAGUAGUUUUUUUCUGUCAUGCUCAAUCAACUCUGCAUGUGCUCUUAUCGACCAGAAAACCAUGAGAAAUAGUUUUUGGGACAAAAGGUGGAUUUAUAUAUUUAUUUCCAAACACCCUGUUGACAAUUGGAACUAACUUUUGGUUGAUGUAGUCGGUGCCUGAAACCGGCCCUGUGACCCUCUCUGUACCUUUCCCCCCCUCUCCCAAUUUUGUUUUUAGGGUAAGCUAUGGAUAUAGGAUGGUUGAGAGCUGCAUACUUUGGGGGCUCAACUCUGGAAUGAGUUACGUGAAGUGGAUGUGAAAAAGUUGCAUCUUCCUGAGCUUCCUAGUUUUCGUCUUUCUUCCCUUGUUUCAUUUCAUUUUGCUCUUUUAUAAUCAAUCAUACAUACUUUCCAUGGUAUUGGGGUAUUGCUACGAGAAAACAAGCAUUGAGCUAAUAAGGGGAUUUAGCAUUGACUUACC
Juglans regia (Persian walnut) is the source of this 4913-nucleotide RNA transcript. RefSeq lists it as uncharacterized. The record is from RefSeq and is a predicted model, not a curated record. The transcript has 8 exons. NCBI's taxonomy places the organism in Eukaryota, Viridiplantae, Streptophyta, Magnoliopsida, Fagales, Juglandaceae.